This 21-nucleotide ribosomal RNA is filed under the name Amylomyces rouxii. Its description in RNAcentral is "partial 28S ribosomal RNA". Lineage: Eukaryota; Fungi; Mucoromycota; Mucoromycetes; Mucorales; Mucoraceae. The record is from RNAcentral. RNAcentral also lists the same sequence under 1 other name.
AUUUGAUCUGAAAUCAGGCGG